Molecule: transfer RNA, 63 nt
Filed under: Nipponnemertes punctatula
Lineage: Eukaryota; Metazoa; Nemertea; Enopla; Monostilifera; Cratenemertidae
Description: tRNA-Glu
Source: RNAcentral
GUGUUUGUAGUUUAAAAAAAACGUUAGGUUUUCGACUUAAAGAUAUGGUUUACAUUGGACAAU